RNAcentral lists this ribosomal RNA (496 nucleotides) under uncultured bacterium. Its description in RNAcentral is "partial 16S ribosomal RNA". It matches the Rfam family "Bacterial small subunit ribosomal RNA", at positions 28 to 507 of the family's 1533-position model. The record is from RNAcentral.
GAUGAACGCUGGCGGCGUGCCUAAUACAUGCAAGUCGAGCGAACAGACGAGGAGCUUGCUCCUCUGACGUUAGCGGCGGACGGGUGAGUAACACGUGGAUAACCUACCUAUAAGACUGGGAUAACUUCGGGAAACCGGAGCUAAUACCGGAUAAUAUAUUGAACCGCAUGGUUCAAUAGUGAAAGACGGUUUUGCUGUCACUUAUAGAUGGAUCCGCGCCGCAUUAGCUAGUUGGUAAGGUAACGGCUUACCAAGGCAACGAUGCGUAGCCGACCUGAGAGGGUGAUCGGCCACACUGGAACUGAGACACGGUCCAGACUCCUACGGGAGGCAGCAGUAGGAAUCUUCCGCAAUGGGCGAAAGCUUGACGGAGCAACGCCGCGUGAGUGAUGAAGGUCUUCGGAUCGUAAAACUCUGUUAUUAGGGAAGAACAAAUGUGUAAGUAACUAUGCACGCCUUGACGGUACCUAAUCAGAAAGCCACGGCUAACUACGUG